AAUUAUGUUUUCUUAACACAGAAAAAACAAGCACAGUUCUAUGAAAAUAUUGUGAAAGUAAUAAGACCUAAACCAGAUUACUUUGCAGUUGGUUAUUAUGGACAAGGAUUUCCAACAUUUUUACGGAGCAAAGUUUUUAUUUAUCGAGGAAAAGAAUAUGAACGCCGUGAAGAUUUUGAA
Molecule: non-coding RNA, 180 nt
Organism: Thamnophis sirtalis
Lineage: Eukaryota; Metazoa; Chordata; Lepidosauria; Squamata; Natricidae
Source: RefSeq, a predicted model, not a curated record